ACUCCUACGGGAGGCAGCAGUGGGGAAUUUUGGACAAUGGGGGCAACCCUGAUCCAGCCAUGCCGCGUGCAGGAUAAAGGCCUUCGGGUUGUAAACUGCUUUUGUACGGAACGAAAAGACUCUUUCUAAUAAAGAGGGUUCAUGACGGUACCGUAAGAAUAAGCACCGGCUAACUUCGUGCCAGCAGCCGCGGUAAU
Molecule: ribosomal RNA, 197 nt
Filed under: uncultured bacterium
Lineage: Bacteria
Description: partial 16S ribosomal RNA
Rfam family: Bacterial small subunit ribosomal RNA
Source: RNAcentral